GCCUGCCCCUGGGUGAGCCUCUGGUCCUACAGCCUUGUGUUCCCCAGGCCUGUUUUUCUGCUCUGCUGUUUCCUCCUUUGUCUCACCAACCAUGAGGUCAUCUGCUUUCCAAAACUGGACCUGGGUCUUCUCAACCCCACUCACCAUACUCUUAUCUCUUUUAUCUGCAGAACCAAGCAGGAGCAAGGCUUCGGAACAUGUGUGCACAGCCCUCCAAGCCAAGCUGUGUGGAUCAUGUCAAGCAACAUCCCGGUGCAGGAUUUAAGGCGUUCUCAUUUGGAGGAGUUUCUCUGCAAUGGAUCUCGCCUUCUCUGGUCAAGUCUGGAUGUCCAUGUCUAAAGAAACACGGCCAGAGCCCUUUUGGAGACCAGGUUCAUUCCCAUGAGCAAACUCUCCAUUCCCUUUCAGAGGAGAGCAGAUCCAAACACACUGUUUCGCCCAUACAGGCAAGUUUCCGUAGCACACAUUGCAUAUGUCUUUCCUCAUCCAUCCUGAGGAGUGUUUGACUAUGGCCAUUGACUUAUGAGGAGGAGAGGCUUAAACAGGUAUGAUUUUUUUAUGGUAGGCUCUUCAUCCAGAUCAGCCCUGUCCAAACUCAUGAAGAUUCCCUAAGUCAGUAAGUAGCUCUCAACCUUCCUAAGGCUGUGACACCUUAACACAGAUCCAUGCUGUGGUGAGCCCCCCAACCAGAAAAUUGCUUCGUUGUUGCUUCAUAGCUGAAGUUUUUCUACUAUGACGCACCCUAAUAUAAACAUCUGCAUAUUCCGAUGGUCUUAGGGGACCCCCGUGAAACAGCUGUUCAGUCCCUCCAAAGGGAGAUUGAUCCACAGGUUGAGAACCGUUGCCCUGAGCGGCCUGGCCUGGAAUCCCCAGCUCAUUCGCCAAAGCGCAGCCCAAACGCUGCACGCUCUGCAACCAAUUCCACCCACCCAGACUCAUUCCAGAUGGUUGUGUCACAUCCCUUCUGCUGGGGAUGCACAGCAACCUACAUCAUGAGGAGCCUUCCCUCCCUCCCUCUUCCCUCCACGUUCACAUCCUCCAAGGGAAGCCGCUGAAACCGCACUGUCUUCUCACAUCAGUGCACCCGGUAUAGAGUUCAACAGCGGCUUGUGAUCAACAGACUGUGCCAAGGGGCUUGCCAGUCAUUCAGCAAGUGUAUUUGCUGCCCAGGGUAAAGUUAGGUCCGCGUGGAAGAGAGGGUCCAGAAUGUGUGUGUAGGGGGGGGGAAACCAAUGGGUGGAGGAGUCCAUGGGAGUUGGGGGGGUUGUUAGUCUACCCACAGCCCCCACACAAAGAAGUGUCUGGCCGUCUGCUUCUGAAAGAUUCGUUGUCUUGGAGGUGAGUAGGGUAUAUACAGCCUGUGGGAUGGAGAGGAGGGAGCCAUGUAGCAAAGGCGCCUGUGUCCCCAGCUGCUCCACCUCUUCUGAUGUGAGAUGCCUCAUCCUAGGGAACCUUUGAUCUGGCGGGAAGGAGUGACCCAUGAUUCGGGGGACGGGGAGCUAUCACAAUGGCUCAAGAACCCAGUUUUGUCCAUGGAGGCAGAAGUAAUAAGGAGACUUCCACGACAGGAAAAGAAAAUCACGAUGCUGUGAGGAGAACACUGUGCCAGCGCCAUGCUUGACUUCAUAGCUGGGUGACGAAGGCGCCACCGUUCCAGAAGGCAGGGAACGAGAUUUGUCCUCAGGGAUCCCCAAGCAGAAUCCCUCUACCAGUCACUGCUUGGGCAGAGGCAGACUCACAUUCUCUUCCCAGCUGCAGCCCAACCUUGCAUAAGCCUCUGCACCCUCGGGCCCAGUUGGCUCUAAUUGCCGCCUCCUCGAUCCUGGGUUGACAAAGGAGACCUAGAAGAAGAGUGAAGAAGCGACACCACUGAAGGUGCACUGACCUCUGGCCUUUUAUCCCAACACGGAAGCCAGCCUUUCUUCAGGUGCAGCUCUCCUGCCUCACCAGCACCCAGAGCCCAGUCAAGCCCAUAACAUGCUUUACAAACAUCUUUAAGUUCAGUGACACCUGUGGAAACACGGCAUCCUCAUCCCUCCCCUGCCUCUGGCCUGUGAGGCAUGCAGGGGCAAGCGUUUCCUGCAUUCUCUUCAGAAGGAACUGGGAAGGGGGCAGGGCAGGAGGGGGGAAAAGGGGAGCCCCUUGCAGACUCACUGGGACAGUUCCCUAGGAAAGAACAGCAGGGUUUCUCUUACUCCCGCUCUUUGCUCUCUCUCUCUGGAGCCCAGGAAGCAAGAAGCGUAGGAACACCUGCUCCCUGAUUUAACCCCUCUGUCCAUGGGGCAUCUGCCACAUCUGCAGAGUGGUACCACUCUGCAUUUUAUCUCCUUCUCUUGAGCCCUUGAGGAUAGACUUGGAAACUCUUAGCUCAUCCAAAUGUUUUCUCACAGAGGGCAUCGCCCGUAGGUAGGUUCCAAAAGUUCCAUCCAGAGACCCACUGUGAGAGUCUUCCUCAUGUCUCCUCCUCUUUCCUUAAAAACCCUGGGGUCACCGGGCCGUUGGUGGUGCACGCCUUUAAUCCCGGCCCUCGGGAGACAGAGGCAGGCGGAUCUCUGUGAGUUCGAGGCCAGCCUGGUCUACAAAGCGAGUUCCAGGACAGCCUCCAAAACAAUACAGAGAAACUGUGUCUGGAAAAACCAAAACCAAAACCAAAACCAAACCCUGGGGUCCUAGUCUCCCUUCCUCUGCUUUCUGUCUCUUGUACAAAUGUGUAUACUUACACCUGGAAGAAUAUUUAAGUUGAUAAAAAUUACCAGUAAAAAAUUCCAUUUUUUAA
Long non-coding RNA from Mesocricetus auratus (golden hamster), 2776 nucleotides. RefSeq lists it as uncharacterized. Lineage: Eukaryota; Metazoa; Chordata; Mammalia; Rodentia; Cricetidae. The record is from RefSeq and is a predicted model, not a curated record. The transcript is spliced from 5 exons.